RNAcentral lists this ribosomal RNA (498 nucleotides) under uncultured bacterium. Its description in RNAcentral is "partial 16S ribosomal RNA". It matches the Rfam family "Bacterial small subunit ribosomal RNA", at positions 30 to 523 of the family's 1533-position model. The record is from RNAcentral.
AUUGAACGCUGGCGGCAUGCCUUACACAUGCAAGUCGAACGGUAACAGGUCUUCGGAUGCUGACGAGUGGCGAACGGGUGAGUAAUACAUCGGAACGUGCCUAGUAGUGGGGGAUAACUAGUCGAAAGAGUGGCUAAUACCGCAUGAGAUCUACGGAUGAAAGCAGGGGAUCGCAAGACCUUGCGCUACUAGAGCGGCCGAUGGCAGAUUAGGUAGUUGGUGGGAUAAAAGCUUACCAAGCCGACGAUCUGUAGCUGGUCUGAGAGGACGAUCAGCCACACUGGGACUGAGAAACGGCCCAGACUCCUACGGGAGGCAGCAGUGGGGAAUUUUGGACAAUGGGCGCAAGCCUGAUCCAGCAAUGCCGCGUGCAGGAUGAAGGCCUUCGGGUUGUAAACUGCUUUUGUACGGAACGAAAAGCCCUGGGUUAAUACCCUGGGGUCAUGACGGUACCGUAAGAAUAAGCACCGGCUAACUACGUGCCAGCAGCCGCCGUAA